RNAcentral lists this long non-coding RNA (224 nucleotides) under Gossypium barbadense (sea-island cotton). Its description in RNAcentral is "long non-coding RNA (GBAR_LNC003065)". Lineage: Eukaryota; Viridiplantae; Streptophyta; Magnoliopsida; Malvales; Malvaceae. The record is from RNAcentral.
ACAACUCAAAAUAUUUAUCAAAAUAAAAAAUUCAAGCAUGGGUUUUGUAGUACUCGAAGCAACGAUCUCAAAAACGUAAAAAUUAUCAAAAAUCGAACAAAAACAAACCUUGAUUGAGCUUGAAUAUAUGUCGAACCCUAGCUUGGUUUCUUUCUUUUUCUUUGUUUUAAUUUUUGGCCAAGAGAAAGAUAAUGAACAUGGUUUUUGUUAAUUUAUGUUUUAUG